RNAcentral lists this ribosomal RNA (1464 nucleotides) under metagenome. Its description in RNAcentral is "bacterial LSU rRNA". It matches the Rfam family "Bacterial large subunit ribosomal RNA", at positions 1485 to 2925 of the family's 2925-position model. The record is from RNAcentral.
GGCCAGCUUGGCGUUGGUUGUCCAAGUUUUAAGGUGGUAGGCUGAAAUCUUAGGUAAAUCCGGGGUUUCAAGGCCGAGAGCUGAUGACGAGUCGUCUUUUAGAUGACGAAGUGGUUGAUGCCAUGCUUCCAAGAAAAGCUUCUAAGCUUCAGGUAACCAGGAACCGUACCCCAAACCGACACAGGUGGUCGGGUAGAGAAUACCAAGGCGCUUGAGAGAACUCGGGUGAAGGAACUAGGCAAAAUGGCACCGUAACUUCGGGAGAAGGUGCGCCGGCUAGGGUGAAGGAUUUACUCCGUAAGCUCUGGCUGGUCGAAGAUACCAGGCCGCUGCGACUGUUUAUUAAAAACACAGCACUCUGCAAACACGAAAGUGGACGUAUAGGGUGUGACGCCUCCCCGGUGCCGGAAGGUUAAUUGAUGGGGUUAGCGCAAGCGAAGCUCUUGAUCGAAGCCCCGGUAAACGGCGGCCGUAACUAUAACGGUCCUAAGGUAGCGAAAUUCCUUGUCGGGUAAGUUCCGACCUGCACGAAUGGCGUAACGAUGGCGGCGCUGUCUCCACCCGAGACUCAGUGAAAUUGAAAUCGCUGUGAAGAUGCAGUGUAUCCGCGGCUAGACGGAAAGACCCCGUGAACCUUUACUGUAGCUUUGCACUGGACUUUGACCCUGCUUGUGUAGGAUAGGUGGGAGGCUUUGAAGCGUGGACGCCAGUUCGCGUGGAGCCAUCCUUGAAAUACCACCCUGGCAUGCUUGAGGUUCUAACUCUGGUCCGUAAUCCGGAUCGAGGACAGUGUAUGGUGGGCAGUUUGACUGGGGCGGUCUCCUCCUAAAGAGUAACGGAGGAGUACGAAGGUGCGCUCAGACCGGUCGGAAAUCGGUCGCAGAGUAUAAAGGCAAAAGCGCGCUUGACUGCGAGACAGACACGUCGAGCAGGUACGAAAGUAGGUCUUAGUGAUCCGGUGGUUCUGUAUGGAAGGGCCAUCGCUCAACGGAUAAAAGGUACUCCGGGGAUAACAGGCUGAUACCGCCCAAGAGUUCAUAUCGACGGCGGUGUUUGGCACCUCGAUGUCGGCUCAUCACAUCCUGGGGCAGAAGCCGGUCCCAAGGGUAUGGCUGUUCGCCAUUUAAAGUGGUACGCGAGCUAGGUUUAGAACGUCGUGAGACAGUUCGGUCCCUAUCUGCCGUGGACGUUUGAGAUUUGAGAGGGGCUGCUCCUAGUACGAGAGGACCGGAGUGGACGAACCUCUGGUGUUCCGGUUGUCACGCCAGUGGCAUUGCCGGGUAGCUAUGUUCGGAAAAGAUAACCGCUGAAAGCAUCUAAGCGGGAAACUUGCCUCAAGAUGAGAUCUCACUGGGAACUUGAUUCCCCUGAAGGGCCGUCGAAGACUACGACGUUGAUAGGCUGGGUGUGUAAGCGUUGUGAGGCGUUGAGCUAACCAGUACUAAUUGCCCGUGAGGCUUGACC